Molecule: small RNA, 99 nt
Filed under: Flavobacterium crassostreae
Lineage: Bacteria; Pseudomonadati; Bacteroidota; Flavobacteriia; Flavobacteriales; Flavobacteriaceae
Description: Flavo-1 RNA
Rfam family: Flavo-1 RNA
Source: Rfam by way of RNAcentral
GGAUAGCUUGUGUUGCGUGAGGGAUAGCCGUGGAAAUCCUUUUUUGGGAUGGAAUGCAAUAGAAUUCUAAAAAAGAUUGCAACAAUAGCCCGACCCGAG